Molecule: unclassified non-coding RNA, 170 nt
Filed under: soil metagenome
Description: partial internal transcribed spacer 1
Source: RNAcentral
CAGAGUUGCAAGACUCCCUAAACCAUUGUGAACGUUACCUAUACCGUUGCUUCGGCGGGCGGCCCCGGGUUCUCCCCGGCCCCCUGGGCCCCAUCGCGGGCGCCCGCCGGAGGUACUCCAAACUCUUGAUACUUAGUGGCCUCUCUGAGUCUUCUGUACUGAAUAAGUCA